This 467-nucleotide ribosomal RNA is filed under the name uncultured bacterium. RNAcentral's name for it is "partial 16S ribosomal RNA". It matches the Rfam family "Bacterial small subunit ribosomal RNA", at positions 28 to 506 of the family's 1533-position model. The record is from RNAcentral.
GACGAACGCUGGCGGCGUGCUUAACACAUGCAAGUCGAACGGAAAGGCCCUGCUUUUGUGGGGUGCUCGAGUGGCGAACCGGUGAGUAACACGUGAGUAACCUGCCCUUGACUUUGGGAUAACUUCAGGAAACUGGGGCUAAUACCGGAUAGGAGCUCCUGCUGCAUGGUGGGGGUUGGAAAGUUUCGGCGGUUGGGGAUGGACUCGCGGCUUAUCAGCUUGUUGGUGGGGUAGUGGCUUACCAAGGCUUUGACGGGUAGCCGGCCUGAGAGGGUGACCGGCCACAUUGGGACUGAGAUACGGCCCAGACUCCUACGGGAGGCAGCAGUGGGGAAUAUUGCACAAGGGGCGGAAGCCUGAUGCAGCAACGCCGCGUGCGGGAUGACGGCCUUCGGGUUGUAAACCGCUUUCGCCUGUGACGAAGCGUGAGUGACGGUAAUGGGUAAAGAAGCACCGGCUAACUACGU